GUUAUCAGUUGCAACGUUUGAUCACACGAUCGUGAAGGCAAGAAGCUGGAUAAUGGGCUCUCUUUUCAUCGUUUUUCAACCUGGAGGCAACGUGAGGGAUCCCAUGUAUCCGAUAUUACUAAACAAAGACGUCAGGCUUGCAUUGCAGCGGUGAGACGAGCGGAUCGAGUUCUCUGCAGUCCCCAGCUUUUUGUUGGUUUGCUCUCCGCAAUUUCUUUCCGCGCAUACACAGCAAACCAGUUUAAGAAUUAUAAAUCCCUGGAGGCCCACAUCCAAUUCACGAACGGCUGGGUGCAAGAUUUGUCCAUCUUCAUGCCUCCACGCUGCGACAACUGUACGUUGUCGUUAAGACAAAGGUACUGCACUCACAACGACUGAAUGAAACUGCACUGUGACCUCGUUGUGUGGACACAGAGAGACCUUCUGUCAUACGCAUCUUCCCUGAUGUGGAUUUCUGGGAACCACGUUUAAAGCAAGCACAAGAGUUCUUUCUUAAAGUGUGUCUUCCUGAACUUGUUGGGAAAUACUUCUCCAAACAAUGUGCUGCUCUAAAUAGCCUGUAAUGUUUCAUUUUGUGAUUCAAGAUUGAUGCCAGCUGUGUGUUGCCAUGUAAAUAGUUUGCAUUUCAUUUCUAUGUACUUGCUAAGUACAUGUGAUAAGAUCAAGAAUAAAAAAAACAAAACAUGUAUACUAUUCUUUUCUGUUUUAUUGAAAUU
Oreochromis aureus is the source of this 716-nucleotide long non-coding RNA. The record is from Ensembl. Lineage: Eukaryota; Metazoa; Chordata; Actinopteri; Cichliformes; Cichlidae.